RNAcentral lists this long non-coding RNA (581 nucleotides) under Hordeum vulgare. RNAcentral's name for it is "long non-coding RNA (HVUL_LNC020630)". The record is from RNAcentral. Lineage: Eukaryota; Viridiplantae; Streptophyta; Magnoliopsida; Poales; Poaceae.
GGGACGGGGACGAUCACAAGAGGGUUUUUGCAAAGUAGCUAAAUUUGGUGUAGUAUGUUCCAACUAUUUAGGAAUAGACGAUAGGUUCCUGUAAAUGAUGGAAAAUUGAAACUUGGUACCAUGCAUGUUUUUGGAUCCAUGUCAACAGAAUGUAGUAAAAAAUAAGUAAUUAAUUGUCUCCCUACUAGAUAUACCAACUGCCUCAUCCAUUAAUAAUCAUCGAGAUUUUAGUUUAAAUUUAAAAUAAAACCGCAAUAAUUAUUAGGAAACCCAAUCAAUUCAGUAUUCUCACACUUCUGCCCUAUAAUAACAAUUGUUUAGACGUCAUUGUAUUAAGGAUGUUAGGCCGAAUGCAUCGCAAUACGAUGGCGAACACAAAACGAAAUUUAACAACGUUUUGAAGUGCGGAAGAAAAGACCGAAAAUAUAGCUUCCGUCGGCAACCCAUUUCAUUUUGCAAUUACCCACCAAUUAGUGAUAUAUAUACACAGUUCAAUCUGUUGGGGUCCAGCUGAAAAUUCAUCAAACAUUGAAUCAGAAGUUUCGCGUGAUACGAUUUAAUUUGGUCCCUUUGUGAGCAGG